RNAcentral lists this ribosomal RNA (253 nucleotides) under uncultured bacterium. Its description in RNAcentral is "partial 16S ribosomal RNA". It matches the Rfam family "Bacterial small subunit ribosomal RNA", at positions 524 to 776 of the family's 1533-position model. The record is from RNAcentral.
UACGGAGGGUGCAAGCAUUAAUCGGAUUUAUUGGGCGUAAAGGGCGCGUAGGCGGAUUGGAAAGUUGGGUGUGAAAUUCCGAGGCUCAACCUCGGAGCUGCACUCAAAACUCCCAGUCUAGAGGGAUGGCGGAGAAAACGGAAUUCCACGUGUAGCGGUGAAAUGCGUAGAUAUGUGGAGGAACACCUGUGGCGAAAGCGGUUUUCUAGCUUAUACCUGACGCUGAGGCGCGAGAGCAAGGGGAGCAAACAGG